RNAcentral lists this ribosomal RNA (253 nucleotides) under uncultured Pseudomonas sp. Its description in RNAcentral is "partial 16S ribosomal RNA". It matches the Rfam family "Bacterial small subunit ribosomal RNA", at positions 99 to 355 of the family's 1533-position model. The record is from RNAcentral. Lineage: Bacteria; Pseudomonadati; Pseudomonadota; Gammaproteobacteria; Pseudomonadales; Pseudomonadaceae.
CGGACGGGUGAGUGAUGCCUAGGAAUCUGCCUGGUAGUGGGGGACAACGUUUCGAAAGGAACGCUAAUACCGCAUACGUCCUACGGGAGAAAGCAGGGGACCUUCGGGCCUUGCGCUAUCAGAUGAGCCUAGGUCGGAUUAGCUAGUUGGUGAGGUAAUGGCUCACCAAGGCGACAUCCGUAACUGGUCUGAGAGGAUGAUCAGUCACACUGGAACUGAGACACGGUCCAGACUCCUACGGGAGGCAGCAGUA